GGCUUCUCCGGUGGCGCUAGAGGUAAAGAACCCGCCUGACUAAUGCAGGCAGAACUAAGAGACAGGGGGGUCGGUCCCUGGGUCGGGAAGAUUCCCCUGGAGAAGGAAUGGCAACCCACUCCAGUGUUCUUGCCUGGAGCAUCCCAUGGACAGAGGAGCCUGGUGGGCUACAGUCCAUGGGGUCGCAGGGUCGGAAGCAUCCUGGGCGGAAGCAAAACGGCCUUGAGCGGCAGCUUGGAACUUUGACACCGACAGGAUUUUUUUUUUUAAUCCCCCCCCCCACACCCCAACAAGUCGACAAAAUCGCAGAUAUGGCCAGAAUCCCGGAACAGCCCCCGCCCUCCGUCGUCUUCUGAACAGAGGCUGCCUCCGAGGACGCCGCCUUGGACUCGGUCGCAGCUGGUUACCCUGCGCCGGGGCCGGGGACCGCCGCGCGGAGGGGCAGCGCCAGCCCCCCGCGGACACGGAAGCCGGUCCUCGGGAGAAGCGGCGCUCUCUCGGCCUCACAGCGGGGCGGGCUGAGCCGGGGGCCGACCCCAGACUCGCCCUCGUCGGUCUCGCCUCCCCCACUGCGCCUCAGCCGCAGAGGCAAAGAAGCAGGGAUAGAUAUAAGCUCUCGCGGCUCUACAAAAGGUGGAUCGAGUCCAGCAAGAACCAAGGGAGGACAUGCUGGAGGCACAGGCUGGCUGGAGUGGGAGUCUCCCUGUGCCUCCUUUUUUACUGCUAUAACAAUCUUCUGAAUUAAAUUCUCCAGCUGUUCUUCAGAAAGCCCUGAAUGCUUUAAUUCCCCUUUUCCCUAGGGGGAUUGCAUGUUAACCAUCAUUUCCCAAGGCAUAUCCUCCCUAUGGUACUGAGCCGCUUGUUCAUUUAACUCUUCCUGUUCAUCAGAGCUUAACAUAUCAUCAUUCCCUCCAGCCUUACAAGCUGUUCCCUCAGGCACAGCAUAAAGCGGCUCAGGUGGAGGGGCGGAAGGCUCUGCAACUUCGGGUUCUGUGGAAUCCCUGAGAGCCGUUUGAAUUUUAUGUCCCUCAUGUUCAGGAUCCAGACAGUCUCUUAUGAGAGUCCACAAAGAAAAAGCAUCCACAGGAACACGAUUGGGACCAUGUAUGGAAUAAUAUGUCUGCAAUUGUUUUCUUAUCUUUUUCCAAGUUUCCAGACUAACUGUUCCUUCCUCUGGAAACCAGGGACAAACCUCUUCUAUAAAAAGUAAAAACUUCUCUAGCUGUAACUUAUUUACAUGAAUUCCCCUACCUUUUAACA
This is a long non-coding RNA of Bubalus bubalis (water buffalo), 1260 nucleotides long. RefSeq lists it as uncharacterized. NCBI's taxonomy places the organism in Eukaryota, Metazoa, Chordata, Mammalia, Artiodactyla, Bovidae. The record is from RefSeq and is a predicted model, not a curated record. The transcript has 2 exons.